AGGGGGCUGCAAUGGGGGGGGGGCAUGCUCCUGCCCGCAAGUGUUAAGCCAGAGGUGAAUUCUGAGGACCGCCGGAGUUCCCGUUUGAGAUUUAGGCGGAUCACACAGUGCAACCGACUCCCCACCGCUCACCUCUCAGAGCCCAUCUCCGGAUGCCUGAUUUGUGUUUUAUUCCACUUUGAAAGCUCGAUGGGGUAGACGUGUUCUUACCCAUUAUGUGUAGAGAGAACAAGUACGGGACAGGUACCCAGCUCGUACAUUCAGGAGUCAGACCCUGGAAGAUUCUGGAAAACCUGUUCAGUGUAGCACCCUGGCCUGGGACCAGAAUCCCCACCCCUGGCUCAACAUCCCCCCAGGGCUGGUGGAGGCACUGAGGCCCCACAUGUCACCAGCCAGCCACUGGCCCGGGGGGGAGAGUUGCCGGGCGAGGCGGGGGUUGACUUGUGAGAGGAGUUGACCGAUGGGUGACAGGGACAGAAGAGCUGAGAGGUGUCAGCCUCGCGGGUGAGGGCAGAGGAUCCAGACUCCGGACACUUGGGAAGGGGGCCAGCCUGAGGGCUGCAGGAGGGCAGGCUGGUCUUGGAUGUGAGGAGGGUGGGCCCUCUGGGUUGGGGGGGCCGCUGUUGCCUGAGGGAGUUGACUUGUCCUGGGAGGCCCCGGGGGACAGGCCUGGGCCAGCAGCAAUGAGAGAGGAACCCUUCCCACAGCAAAACCAGGUCUCCGGCACCCAAGCCCGGCCUCCCAACCAGUUCCCCCCCCUCCCCCCGUCAGUGUUCCCUUUUCCAUUCCAUUCUGGCCACUAGCAUUUUCACCCAUUUUCUCGAGAACAGCGGUGAGGCCUGGAAGUCAGGACCACUGCCUGACCUCUUAGAAUUUCAAACUGUCUUGAAGAUCCUUUUGUCCGGCCCAUUGCGUCGCCGUAGAAAUGUUUAGUCAACGGGCUGCCGGCCCAGCUGGCCCAGCCCCGGUGACUGUGCCCCGGGCUCUUCCCUCCCAAGCGGCUGCUCCAGGCUAGGUGGGGGCUCCCCCCUCCGAAGUGGGGUCUGUUCCCCUCUUGUGCCCCCUUCUCCCCCCAGGUUCUGUCACCUGCCCCCUGCUGCCCUGUCGUUGGUCUUGCCGCUUACAGAACAGGCUUCCAGGCGACUCGCCUCAGCUGUGGUCUGUGAGUUUCUUCAAGGAUUUUAUUGAGAUGGGGGCCUAGAGACACUAAAUCUUUAUAACACAAGUGGACCUUUGGACUUGGGAACCCACCUCAUUUUAUAGACGAGGAAACUGAAAGGUUAGGUGGCUUUGCCUGAGGCCACCCAAGGGCCCAAGACGGGGCUGGGCCUCAAGCCUCAUCUCUGCUCUUUCCUGCUGCUCACUGACUGGUGACCAGCCCUGGGCAGGGGCGGUCUCAGCAGUUGGUGCCACGUUUCUGGCAUUGUCCAGGGUCAUCCCAGCACGACUUUGGGCAACCCCAUCCCCUGGUGACGUGUUCAACUUCAAGUUGACUAAAACCCCUGAAUUGUUUUAUAACUUAAUUUUCUUCUGAUUGUAAAAAUACUAGAAAAUACAUAGAAAUUCAAAGUAUAAACUUUCACAGCACUUCCUGUUGCUGUAAAAUUCCCCCCACCCUGCAUUCGGUUGCUCCGUUUUUAGCUAUAAAAGUAGGACUCUCCCAGGAGUUCCCGUUGCGGCUCAGCAGGUUAAGAACUUGACCUAGUCUCUAGGAGGAGGCAGGUCCCAUCCCUGGCCUCACUCAGGGUGCUAAGGAUCCGGCGUUGCCUCAAGCUGCAGUAUAUAUAGGUCACAGAUGCAGCCCGGAGCCAGUGUUGCCGUGGCAUAACCUGGCAGCUACCGCUCUGGUUCAACCCCUAGCCCAGAAACUUCCACAUGACACAGGUGCCACC
Molecule: long non-coding RNA, 1892 nt
Filed under: Sus scrofa (pig)
Lineage: Eukaryota; Metazoa; Chordata; Mammalia; Artiodactyla; Suidae
Description: lncRNA (ENSSSCG00005020186.1)
Source: RNAcentral